GCAGUCGAGCGGACAGAAGGGAGCUUGCUCCCGGAUGUUAGCGGCGGACGGGUGAGUAACACGUGGGUAACCUGCCUGUAAGACUGGGAUAACUCCGGGAAACCGGAGCUAAUACCGGAUAGUUCCUUGAACCGCAUGGUUCAAGGAUGAAAGACGGUUUCGGCUGUCACUUACAGAUGGACCCGCGGCGCAUUAGCUAGUUGGUGGGGUAAUGGCUCACCAAGGCGACGAUGCGUAGCCGACCUGAGAGGGUGAUCAGACACACUGGGACUGAGACACGACCCAAACUCAUACGGGAGGCAGCAGUAGGGAAUCUUCCGCAAUGGACGAAAGUCUGACGGAGCAACGCCGCGUGAGUGAUGAAGGUUUUCGGAUCGUAUAGCUCUGUUGUUAGGGAAGAACAAGUGCGAGAGUAACUGCUCGCACCUUGACGGUACCUAACCAGAAAGCCACGGCUAACUACGUGCCAGCAGC
RNAcentral lists this ribosomal RNA (474 nucleotides) under Bacillus safensis. RNAcentral describes it as "bacterial SSU rRNA". It matches the Rfam family "Bacterial small subunit ribosomal RNA", at positions 57 to 515 of the family's 1533-position model. Lineage: Bacteria; Bacillati; Bacillota; Bacilli; Caryophanales; Bacillaceae. The record is from RNAcentral.